RNAcentral lists this ribosomal RNA (253 nucleotides) under uncultured bacterium. RNAcentral's name for it is "partial 16S ribosomal RNA". It matches the Rfam family "Bacterial small subunit ribosomal RNA", at positions 524 to 776 of the family's 1533-position model. The record is from RNAcentral.
UACGUAGGUGGCAAGCGUUGUCCGGAUUUAUUGGGCGUAAAGCGAGUGCAGGCGGUUCAAUAAGUCUGAUGUGAAAGCCUUCGGCUCAACCGGAGAAUUGCAUCAGAAACUGUUGAACUUGAGUGCAGAAGAGGAGAGUGGAACUCCAUGUGUAGCGGUGGAAUGCGUAGAUGUAUGGAAGAACACCAGUGGCGAAGGCGGCUCUCUGGUCUGCAACUGACGCUGAGGCUCGAAAGCAUGGGUAGCGAACAGG